This 1286-nucleotide long non-coding RNA is filed under the name Cricetulus griseus (Chinese hamster). Its description in RNAcentral is "lncRNA (ENSCGRG00015043287.1)". Lineage: Eukaryota; Metazoa; Chordata; Mammalia; Rodentia; Cricetidae. The record is from RNAcentral.
CUUAUGAAAUGACCCCCAAGGGACAUAAAUCAGCUCCUCCAAGACUCUUAGUGCUAAAGGAGAUUGGAAAACCUAGAGGAUUUUAAAGGUUUAGCUAAUCCACAUAGAAGAGAGGUCCAGGAGAGGGUGGACUUCUAGAAGAAUAACCUCUCCUUAUGAGACACCUUUCAUUAGGAAUUUGGAGUCAGAGGGAAAGCUUGCAGUAUGGAAGUUUUCCACUAUCUACAGAGCUGUGUCUACAAACAGCUUGAAGAAGAUUCAGUCCGAAGGAUCACAGUCAACCACAGGGCGGAGUUGAUUAUGGUUGUAACAAGCAGCUAUAGGGGACAAUCACAUCUACAAAACCUUCACUGUUCUUGAGAGCUGGUGCCCUCGUUUGUUACGAUAAAUCUUUCCACCAAAGCUGCCUGAGCCCUACCGCCAUGUGGGCGGUCUCCGCCAGCCGCCCAAGUUCUGCCCGCCACGUGAUGGACAAAAUAAUACACAGACUUAUAUUAGGUACAAAUGCUGCUUGGCCAAUGACUAGGAUUUCUCAUCUGCUAGCUCAGUCUUAAUUAUCAUAAAUCUAUAUAUUUUAUAAGACUUAUGGGACCCCUUCCAUUGGCACCCUCCCUUGCCAGUGGAUCACAUGGCACUGCUGGAGGAGGAGUGGAGGGGAAAAAGGGACACUUUCUGUUUCUCCUUGACUAAAUAUGAGUCUCCUUGCUAUGUCACUUCCUGCCUGGAUCACCACUUCUCUACUUCAUUUCCCAGAAUCCUCUUUGACUCCUAGUCCCAUCUAACUUUCUGUCUCAUUGGCCAAACAGAACUUUAUUUAUCAUCCAGUAAGACAAACACAUACACAGAAGAACUUCCCCCAUCACUCAUUUCCAGAAUAGAGGUUAGUGUUCCCUUCGUGACUGCACAGAGGACUUUAAGUGAGGCAGUCUCUAUGCAAAGGUGGUCAGCUGCUCAAGCAGUAAUAGCCACGUAGAUUAUUAAGGUUAUUCACUGGGGAAAGGUUGAUCAAUAGCCAUGAAUUAGAGUUGGAUAGAGGUCAGAAGUUCUGGUGUGUUAUUGUUGAACAGUAGGGUAACUGUAGAUGAUACUUUAAGAAGCUAGAAAAGAUUUUAUAAUUAUAAUUUUAUAAUUAUGGUGACAUAUAUGAUAAAUGUUUGAUGAGAUGGGUAUAUGUACUACCUCAGAAUGUACACAUAUAUUCAAAUGUUACAUGGUAUCUCAUAAAUAUGCAUCAUUUUUGUCUUAAUGUGUCAGUUAAAUAAAUUUAAUUGGCAGGCCUAAUGACG